UCUGAAUGGCUGCCUUUUUGAGUCUCCAGCAAACGUUAAGACUCUCCCUUAACCCCACCCAAAGCACUGAAUGAAAAGACUUGUCAAACUCUCAUCUGCCCUGGGGCCUUUGCACGUGCUGUUCCAGCUGCCCCUCCCCCAUCACUGGACAGAGUCUUCCUACCUUUAGGAUUCCACGUAGAGGUUCACCACCUCAGGGAAGCCCUUCCAGACUCCUCGUCUGAAGUAGAUUCCCUGACUUUACUGACUCCCAGAGGUCCACUCUUCUCUUCUACUUAACACUUGUAAUCAUGUACCACAUUGACUGUGUGCUGUCAACCCCCAAAUCGCCUGACCUGGAAAUCCCAUGAGAUCAAGGACCACAUCCUUAUCUUCAACAGCGGAUUCUCAGAGUCCAGCAGUAUGGCCUGGACUUUGAAGAUUUCACAGACAACUGAUUAGAAUGUACUAUUUCUGGACUCAUCUGGUGUGGUGUGGCACCGCUUUGUGUGAUAGAGAAGAUAGACCUUAUUUGUCAUGUGUGGGGCAGUCUUUUGCCAUUUUACCAUUUGCCUUUUGACUUUGUUUAUGGUACUUUGUUGUUCAAAUGCUUUAAAAGGUUUUAUGUCAUCAAAUAUGUUUUCCUUUAUAGAAUUUAGGUUUUGUGACUUGAACAGAAAGGCCUUUCCUGCUCUGAUACUAAGAAAUAAAACAAAAAUGGGGCAAAGACUCCCACGCUUUUUUUGGUGCCUCUAAUAUUGUAUGUUUAAAAUUUUAAACCAUAUAGAAUUUAUUUUGGUAUAAAGAGUGAGGUUUGGAUUUGAAUUUGUAUUUUUUCCAGAUGGCACUCAGUUGUUCUAAGUCUAUUUAUUGAUUGGCCCAGCUUUUUCCCAUUGCUUUGAUGUUUGGUUUUCAUCUUUUGGAGGUAAUUAUUCUCAAUAAAAAGGCCAAAUCAGACAUCAUUAAAUUCUGGGUAUGAAAAUUUUUCAGUUAGUUUAUUCAGUUUAGAAGCUACUGAAAACAAUUCCUUUAUAUACAACUCUUAAUCCAUUUGGCAGUUUGGUACUCACUUUUCACCAAAUGAAAGAAAUCAUGCAUCAUAAAUGUUGAUGAAGUUUUCUUUUUUUAUUUUCUUCUCUCUCUCUUUUUAAAAGAGUUUUAGAGAGAGAGCA
This is a long non-coding RNA of Canis lupus familiaris (dog), 1151 nucleotides long. RefSeq lists it as uncharacterized. Lineage: Eukaryota; Metazoa; Chordata; Mammalia; Carnivora; Canidae. The transcript has 3 exons. The record is from RefSeq and is a predicted model, not a curated record.